AAGAAAGAAAAAAAAAAAAAAUUGAAGAAACGUUUGUGUUACUGCUUCAGAAGGACGUUUGCGAGAAGUUCAACUAGCAUUAAUUGUUUGUUUACGUUGAUUUGUUUUAUUUUCAUC
This 117-nucleotide non-coding RNA is filed under the name Compsopogon caeruleus. The record is from RNAcentral. Lineage: Eukaryota; Rhodophyta; Compsopogonophyceae; Compsopogonales; Compsopogonaceae.